UGUGUGUCUGUGUGGCUCUGCUGCUGAUUGGAGGAUUUGCACUGAUGAUCUACAAACUGAGAUGCAAGAGAAUACAAGAUUAUACUCCUUCAUCCAAGAGGAGAGACAAUAAUCCAGUUACUUCUGAUUUUAACACUGAUUCAGCUCAUUUGUAUGAAAACAUCAGAUUGAACUAAAUAUGAACCUGCACCAGUACACAAAUCAGACUUCCUGUUUGAGCUGUUGAACUCUGUUAUUCUUAAUGUUCUGAGUUGAAUCGUAGUGGCUCAAGUCCCAACGCUGUAGUGUGUCUCUCUUCACUUCUUUAUAGGACAUGCUAGUUCAAUCACAGGCACAGUUUCUGGAGGACAGCUAGCCAUUU
Molecule: long non-coding RNA, 361 nt
Organism: Pangasianodon hypophthalmus (striped catfish)
Lineage: Eukaryota; Metazoa; Chordata; Actinopteri; Siluriformes; Pangasiidae
Exons: 3
Source: RefSeq, a predicted model, not a curated record